CCUACGGGUGGCAGCAGUGAGGAAUAUUGGUCAAUGGGCGGGAGCCUGAACCAGCCAAGUCGCGUGAGGGAAGACGGUCCUAUGGAUUGUAAACCUCUUUAGGCGGGGAGCAAUGCCGGGCACGUGUGCCCGGAGGGAGAGUACCCGCAGAAUAAGCAUCGGCUAACUCCGUGCCAGCAGCCGCGGUAAUACGGAGGAUGCGAGCGUUAUCCGGAUUUAUUGGGUUAAAGGGGUGCGUAGGCGGAAGGUUAAGUCAGCGGUAAAAUGUCGGUGCUCAACACCGGCCUGCCGUUGAAACUGGUCGUCUUGAGUGAGCGAGAGGUAUGCGGAAUGCGUGGUGUAGCGGUGAAAUGCAUAGAUAUCACGCAGAACUCCGAUUGCGAAGGCAGCAUACCGGCGCUCAACUGACGCUGAGGCACGAAAGCGUGGGGAUCGAACAGGAUUAGAUACCCUGGUAGUC
This 460-nucleotide ribosomal RNA is filed under the name uncultured bacterium. Its description in RNAcentral is "partial 16S ribosomal RNA". It matches the Rfam family "Bacterial small subunit ribosomal RNA", at positions 338 to 795 of the family's 1533-position model. The record is from RNAcentral.